AUUGAACGCUGGCGGAAUGCUUUACACAUGCAAGUCGAACGGUAGAGGGGGCAACCCCUUGAGAGUGGCGAACGGGUGAGUAAUAUAUCGGAACGUGCCCAGUCGUGGGGAUAACGUAGCGAAAGUUACGCUAAUACCGCAUACGAUCUACGGAUGAAAGCGGGGGACUCGCAAGAGCCUCGCGCGAUUGGAGCGGCCGAUAUCAGAUUAGGUAGUUGGUAGGGUAAAGGCUCAUCAAGCCAACGAUCUGUAGCUGGUCUGAGAGGACGACCAGCCACACUGGAACUGAGACACGGUCCAGACUCCUACGGGAGGCAGCAGUGGGGAAUUUUGGACAAUGGACGCAAGUCUGAUCCAGCCAUUCCGCGUGCAGGAUGAAGGCCCUCGGGUUGUAAACUGCUUUUGUACGGAACGAAACGGUGAGCUCUAAUACAGUUUGCUAAUGACGGUACCGUAAGAAUAAGCACCGGCUAACUACGUGCCAGCAGCCGCGGU
Molecule: ribosomal RNA, 495 nt
Filed under: uncultured bacterium
Lineage: Bacteria
Description: bacterial SSU rRNA
Rfam family: Bacterial small subunit ribosomal RNA
Source: RNAcentral